Molecule: non-coding RNA, 2986 nt
Organism: Meleagris gallopavo (turkey)
Lineage: Eukaryota; Metazoa; Chordata; Aves; Galliformes; Phasianidae
Source: RefSeq, a predicted model, not a curated record
CCAAAUUGCAGGAUCCUGUAUCCCAAGAUCACCUCAUCCUAUGGCAGCAACAGAAUUCUCAGGUGUUCUUUCCCUUUGAGGAGAGCGUAUGACCAGCCCCAAGUUGAAUGGCAAGUCGUCUGAAGAUCCUUCUUCGUACACAGCAGCAAUCUGUGGUCUUGGAACAUGCAACUGAUUGAAGCUGAAGGUGCUGUCUAUUAUUAUUAUCAAACCUUCCCCCCUUACACCACCCAUUCAGUUGUAGGAUGCAACAGAGAAGAUAAUUCUGGAGAUUCACUGCUGAGAACUCAGCAUCAAGAGGAUACCAGCUCUGUUUAAUUGUGUUCUAAAGGGAAUAUGUAUUUAUGCAUCUUUCUUUUUGAUGACAAGAAUUCAGAAAAAUCAUUAAAAAUACUUGCUGAAGACUGUAGAAAGGCAGUUAGACCUGACCUGUAGUCAUUGGUGUCCAUAGUGUUCAGACAGUGAUCACAGAAGUGUCAUUGUGUAACUGGAUGAAGAAUUGGAUUUAAUUCAUUUGAUUUUCAUAUGUCUCAUAGGUGGAUACUGAUGGAGCAGCUGCUGAAAAUAACAGCUCAUGGGUCUGAAGGAUAUUAUUAAGCCGUAAUCCACCUACAAGUCAGCUGGUUAGAAAUGCAAGGUGCAGGGACUCGAGUGGAAUCCAAGCUUUGUGAAUAUGGCCCUUAGAGGAAUCUGUUCAUAAAACAAGUUACUUUCUCAACAUGCAUCACGCUGAGAUUCAUUGUGCCACGUGACACUAUGAAUGGUAAAUCCAGGAAUAGUUUUCUUAUUUGUUGUCAAGGUUACUUUAGUAAGUGUCUGUGUUUGUGCAGAAUAUCCUAGUCUCGAUUAAAUCCUAUCACAUGGCUUUGAAGAAGACCUGGAAGGCAGUUAACUACUGUAACUGAUUUGUUUGAAUUUCUGCCAGUGAUCAGAGCAUAUAUUCUUGCAUUUUUCAUUGGUAGCUACUGAAAAGUUGACUUGCUUUUAGUCAACUUUAAAUGAAGUAACUUAUGGACCAUAUUGUGGAAACUAAUAAAACUCUGGGCUAUAAUGAUGUGGGGGAAGCGUUAGGUCAGGGCUUGAACUGGUGAUUGAGCACCUGGUGAAGGGCUGUGGCUGCCCAGGGAGCACAGGCAAAUUGUUUGCAGCUGUGCUCCCCACCUGACCAGGGUGAACCCAGGGUAGAGCUCCUAUAAGGGCAGCCACUGAAGGGAGAACCUCCCUUGGACUGAGGAUACUUCCAGAGAGGGAAUGCUGCAUGGCCAGAGGGCCUCCUCACCAGUUGGGACUGCCUCAAGGAUCUGACAGGAGGAAUUGAGUAUGCUGCCAAGAUAUUAAAUGAAAUUCCCCAGAAAGACAUUCAGUGCACUAAAAGAGCCUCAAAGGCAGAAAGGGAAGGAAAUGGGCAAGUGGAUGGGGGGAAACUUCUAAGAGGACUGAAGGACCACUGACUUCUUUGAGUUCAUCUAAUCACUUUGCUGGGGGUUAUUGCAGCUAUAAAAUGUUUUCCCGUGGUAAUGAUGGCAGUUACAGAGGAGAUUCAUGACUUGCACCACUUUUGCUGGACACAGUUUGCUCAUGUGUUCCUUACCUGAAUACUUCAAAGCCUCAUUUUGGAGAGGAGAAGAGAGAUUACACAGACGGCUGUGGGCCUGAAGGCUGGCUGCUAGCAUGAAUGUUGCACGACUUACUGUGACUGUUGCUUUGCUGGCACUCCAGACCGAACCAGACACCAUCAGAAGCAGUGUGAGCUGUCACAAUAGCACUGCCCAUAUUUCUUCAACUGGAAGCAUCAGCCUGGUGAUGUGCUAGGGCAAGCUUACGGGCCCUUUCAAGGCCAGUGUAUUCUUGUGUCAACCUGAGGAAGCCUGUGAGUAGAGCAGCUUGUUCUUAACCAGCAUUGUAUCAUAUUGGCUUAAUUCGUGAGGGCUGUGUGCCAGCCUGCAGUGAACCAGGUCAAUUUUAGCAUGAUGGUAUGUUACAGACACUUAGCAUGAAGUUCUAUGUAUGCUGAGUCGAUUCUAUUUCCAGGCCAGUGUUUUCUGCCUGUGCUGUGGGAUGUUUCUGAGGCUGUCCUAGAAACAUUUAUAGGGAUUCCAACACUUUUUCAGGGAUAGCCAAUGAUAUCCUGGGUUACUGCAGUGAUGAAUGUGCAUCACAGCGUUACAUCAUUUCAGUGGGAACAAGAAGGAGGGAGAGGUAGAGUGCAGCAGGAACCUCUGAUGCUGGCUUUGCCACCAAGGAAUACACAUUGUGUAACAGCACUCUGCAAAUUAAAUGUUACGCUUUCAUGCUCUUCUUCUUCCAUGUGCCGUAAUUAAAAGCCUCUUCCUUUGGUUUGUGGGUUCAGAACUGUGUAAUGAUGUUAAACAAACAAACAUCUGACCAAAUUCCUAUCUACCAGAUUAAUUUUUAACAGUUUAGUGAAUAAUGGCAUGUCGUUAAGGGUGGAUAGUGCGUUUAAACUCCUGUAAGGCUUUCUGAGUGGCGGUGAGUGUCUUUCUGGGAUGUCAAGGGAGUGGAUUUCAAUUCGCUUUGAAAACAGAGAAAGAAAUAAGGAAUUAUAUUUUUCUUAAAAAAAAAACAACAAAAAACCUUGCAACUAUUAUGCUUUGAAAUAUAAAUUCCUUUCCUGACUACUCUCUAAGCAUCUAACAGCCAUAUUUCUGAGUAAUGGCAUGGAAGAGCUGAAAAGUAUUCAUGCACUUCAAAAGUUGAGAAUGAAUGAGUUUUUGUUCAGACGUAGUUAUGAAAAUCUAAACAAUAUCAUAUUUAGAUUUGUAGGGCAGUAAGAAUAAAGAGAUCAGUGGCUUAUGUAAACUAAAUCCAGCUAAUUAACACAAGAUGAUGGCAUUUAGUUUCUCAUUUUCUGAUAGCCCCUUGGCUCUCCUCUAGCCUGAUUAAUGCCAGACAUUGUUGCAGUGCGUUGAAGCAGCUCUUUCAGAGCAAGGAACAGACUCUCUUUGUGAAGCAGUCCAAGCUCUGC